RNAcentral lists this microRNA (23 nucleotides) under Sus scrofa (pig). RNAcentral's name for it is "ssc-miR-7139-5p". Lineage: Eukaryota; Metazoa; Chordata; Mammalia; Artiodactyla; Suidae. The record is from miRBase by way of RNAcentral.
CCAUUCCUUCGUCUGUGCACUAG